This 537-nucleotide ribosomal RNA is filed under the name Salmonella enterica subsp. enterica serovar Infantis. RNAcentral describes it as "partial 23S ribosomal RNA". It matches the Rfam family "Bacterial large subunit ribosomal RNA", at positions 655 to 1190 of the family's 2925-position model. Lineage: Bacteria; Pseudomonadati; Pseudomonadota; Gammaproteobacteria; Enterobacterales; Enterobacteriaceae. The record is from RNAcentral.
GUAUAGGGGAGCCGGAGGGAAACCGAGUCUUAACCGGGCGUUAAGUUGCAGGGUAUAGACCCGAAACCCGGUGAUCUAGCCAUGGGCAGGUUGAAGGUUGGGUAACACUAACUGGAGGACCGAACCGACUAAUGUUGAAAAAUUAGCGGAUGACCUGUGGCUGGGGGUGAAAGGCCAAUCAAACCGGGAGAUAGCUGGUUCUCCCCGAAAGCUAUUUAGGUAGCGCCUCGUGAAUUCAUCUCCGGGGGUAGAGCACUGUUUCGGCUAGGGGGCCAUCCCGGCUUACCAACCCGAUGCAAACUGCGAAUACCGGAGAAUGUUAUCACGGGAGACACACGGCGGGUGCUAACGUCCGUCGUGAAGAGGGAAACAACCCAGACCGCCAGCUAAGGUCCCAAAGUCAUGGUUAAGUGGGAAACGAUGUGGGAAGGCCCAGACAGCCAGGAUGUUGGCUUAGAAGCAGCCAUCAUUUAAAGAAAGCGUAAUAGCUCACUGGUCGAGUCGGCCUGCGCGGAAGAUGUAACGGGGCUAAACCAU